Molecule: ribosomal RNA, 460 nt
Filed under: uncultured bacterium
Lineage: Bacteria
Description: partial 16S ribosomal RNA
Rfam family: Bacterial small subunit ribosomal RNA
Source: RNAcentral
CCUACGGGAGGCAGCAGUGAGGAAUAUUGGUCAAUGGACGAGAGUCUGAACCAGCCAAGUAGCGUGAAGGAUGACUGCCCUAUGGGUUGUAAACUUCUUUUAUAUGGGAAUAAAACGUUCCACGUGUGGGAUUUUGUAUGUACCAUAUGAAUACGGAUCGGCUAACUCCGUGCCAGCAGCCGCGGUAAUACGGAGGAUCCGAGCGUUAUCCGGAUUUAUUGGGUUUAAAGGGAGCGUAGGUGGAUUGUUAAGUCAGUUGUGAAAGUUUGCGGCUCAACCGUAAAAUUGCAGUUGAAACUGGCAGUCUUGAGUACAGUAGAGGUGGGCGGAAUUCGUGGUGUAGCGGUGAAAUGCUUAGAUAUCACGAAGAACUCCGAUUGCGAAGGCAGUUCACUGGACUGCAACUGACACUGAGGCUCGAAAGUGUGGGUAUCAAACAGGAUUAGAUACCCUAGUAGUC